UGAGCCCUACGGGGGGCAGCAGUGGGGAAUAUUGCACAAUGGGGGGAACCCUGAUGCAGCGACGCCGCGUGAGUGAAGAAGUAUUUCGGUAUGUAAAGCUCUAUCAGCAGGAACGAAAAUGACGGUACCUGACUAACAAGCCCCGGCUAACUACGUGCCAGCAGCCGCGGUAAUACGUCGGGGGCAAGCGUUAUCCGGAUUUACUGGGUGUAAAGGGUGAGUAGACGGCA
RNAcentral lists this ribosomal RNA (230 nucleotides) under uncultured bacterium. RNAcentral's name for it is "partial 16S ribosomal RNA". It matches the Rfam family "Bacterial small subunit ribosomal RNA", at positions 333 to 580 of the family's 1533-position model. The record is from RNAcentral.